UCCCUGGUGGCUCAGAGGUUAAAGCGUCUGCCUACAAUGCAGGAGACCCGGGUUCGAUCCCUGGGUUGGGAA
This 72-nucleotide transfer RNA is filed under the name Bos taurus (domestic cattle). It matches the Rfam family "tRNA". From Rfam's summary of the family: Transfer RNA (tRNA) molecules are approximately 80 nucleotides in length. Their secondary structure includes four short double-helical elements and three loops (D, anti-codon, and T loops). The record is from Rfam by way of RNAcentral. Lineage: Eukaryota; Metazoa; Chordata; Mammalia; Artiodactyla; Bovidae. RNAcentral also lists the same sequence under 2 other names.